UGUGGGGAUCACUACUUCAGUAUUCAGUCACAACCACGCCACUCGUUGUUCAACGACGACGAGAGUAACACAUAUUUUUAUUAUUAUUUAAAUUAUUAAAAAACAUUUAUAUAAAUUUCUCUUAAAUUAUUGUGAUAUUUGUGUCAAUUUAAUACAACUGAUAACAAAAUCGUACGAUUAUUUCGUUCACCAUGGGUGGCUUUGCAUGGGUUACAUUGGCCACAAAUGAUUCUUAUUCAUUGGGAGCAUUGGUAUUGGCUCAUUCAUUAAAAAAAGUUUCAACAAAAUAUGAUUUAGCUGUACUAAUAACACCAGGAGUAACUGAAGUAAUGAGAGAAAAACUAUCAGCUGUAUUUACACUUGUUAAAGAAGUUAAUGUCCUGGAUUCAAAAGACGAAGCAAAUCUUGCACUUCUAGCAAGACCAGAACUUGGAAUAACAUUUACAAAAUUACACUGUUGGAGAUUAACACAAUAUGAUAAAUGUGUUUUCAUUGAUGCUGAUGCAUUGGUCAUUAAAAAUAGUGAUGAAUUAUUUGAACGUGAUGAAUUAUCAGCAGCACCAGAUGUCGGUUGGCCAGAUUGUUUUAAUUCUGGUGUAUUUGUAUUUAAACCAUCACAAAUUACAUUUUCAUCAUUAACAUCACAUGCUAAAUUACAUGGUUCAUUUGAUGGUGGUGAUCAAGGUCUUUUAAAUUCAUUUUUUAGUGAUUGGGCACAUAAAGAUAUAUCAAAACAUUUACCAUUUAUUUAUAACAUGUGUUCAACUGCAACUUAUUCAUAUCUUCCUGCAUUCAAACAAUUUGGUGAAGAUGUUAAAAUUAUUCAUUUCAUUGGAAGCACUAAACCUUGGCUUCAAUAUUUCGAUACAUUGACUGGUCAAGUACAGCCACAUCCAGACACUGGAUAUCUUCAGCCAAUGCUUCAACAUUGGUGGAAUAUAUUCUGUGAAAAUGUACAUCCACAAUUAUCACCAGUAAUGCUAAGCACUGAACAAAGGGCUACGCGAUAUUGCGAGGCCAGCAGUACAUUGGCAACAGCACACUGGCACGAUUUACAAUUUCCUGUAUCCUCAAAACCCACAUUGACAAGACAUGUAUGUCAUGACACAACAACAACAGAAAAAAAAACCCAUGAUGAAAUAGAUGCAGUACCAGAUUUUACAAAUUUUAGAGAUCCAUGGGAAUAUUAUAUUGUAUCAACACCAGAAAAUCCUGUUGCACAUAGUUCCCAACAAAUUCCUCAACAAACACAUACAAUACAACAACAACAAAUUUCUCAAGAUGAUGUUUAUCAAAUUAGUCAAUCAAUGAAUAACAUAACAAUUCAACAUGAUCAAAUAAAUACUAAUAAUAAUGAAAAUAUACAAAAUCAAACAACACAUGAUUAUCCACAUUAUCAAUAUUAUAAUAAUCAAUUACAAAAUAUUAAACAUGACGUUAGUGUAGAUAGUAGCUCAUCAUAUCAACAACAACAACAUGAACAAUCUAAACCAUCAACAAGUAGACAAGUUCAAAGUCAUGUUGAAUAUACAAGACAUAAUUUAACAGAACAAAAUCAAGCUAAUGAUGGUGUUGAUGAAACAGAUAAAAUUAGUAAAAUAUUAGAUAAUGAUUAUGAUGAAAUUGAUAGAAUUUUAAAUAGUAAAUUUAUUAAUGACAAUAAACAAACUGACAAUAAUCAAAAUAAUAAAAUAAUAAAUACAAUAUCCCAAUUCCAAAAUUGUACAGAGUCUAAUAUUGUUGGAUCAAAAUCUGACAUGAAAAUUAUCAGCAAUGAUGAAAAUAAUGCUGGAAUUGCUGGUGCAUUGGCGAAGAUAACACUUGGUGAAACAAGAAGUUCUGAGCAAGUUGCACUUGAAGAACAUAUGAGAAAAUAUGGGUGGGAACAAGGACAAAUUGAUUACAUGGGACGUGAUAGUUUUGAUAAUAUUUGGAAAAAAAUUAACACGACUCUUGAGACAUCAUCAUCAUCAUCAAAGAGUGACAAAGUUUCAGUCAAGACAAAAUCUGGAGAGACAGAAGAAAAAGUUUCGACAAAAAAAGCUGAUCUAUCAACAGAAAAAUCAAGUAAAAAUAUUCCUGAUGAAACAAAAACAACUGACGCAGGAACUGAGGAGAGCAAUUAACAGAUCGUGACAACCAUAUCAUUGCUGCGUCUUGUAUUGUCGUUUUGUUUUGACUGGGCUGUAUCAUCAGAUGAAACUUUAGAAAAAACAAUAAAUGAGGCCAAAGAAAUUUUAUCAACAAACAUUGAAUCAUCACCGGGAUCAUCAUCAGAGGUAAUAUUAUCCGUCAAAGCAG
This 2301-nucleotide unclassified non-coding RNA is filed under the name Aphidius gifuensis. Its description in RNAcentral is "glycogenin-1, transcript variant X1". The record is from RNAcentral. Lineage: Eukaryota; Metazoa; Arthropoda; Insecta; Hymenoptera; Braconidae.